GCUGGGCAUUGUGGCGGGUUCCUGUGGUCCCAGCUACUUGGGAGGCUGAGGCAAGAGACUCGCUUGAGCCCAAGAGUUGGAGGUUGCUGUGAGCUGUGAUGCCACAAUACUCUACCCAGGGGGAUAGCUUGAGGCUCUGUCUCAAAAAAAAAAAUAGAUGAUAUCUCAGUACUCUUUAUUUUAAGAAUCUUGAAACUCUUUUUUUUUUUUUUGAGACAGAGCCUCAAGCUGUCCCCCUGGGUAGAGUGCCAUGGCAUUACAGCUCACAGCAACCUCCAACUCCUGGGCUCAAGCGAGUCUCCUGCCUCCA
This 310-nucleotide signal recognition particle RNA is filed under the name Otolemur garnettii (small-eared galago). RNAcentral describes it as "Metazoan signal recognition particle RNA". It matches the Rfam family "Metazoan signal recognition particle RNA". From Rfam's summary of the family: The signal recognition particle (SRP) is a universally conserved ribonucleoprotein. It is involved in the co-translational targeting of proteins to membranes. Lineage: Eukaryota; Metazoa; Chordata; Mammalia; Primates; Galagidae. The record is from Rfam by way of RNAcentral.